UUGUGUUUUUUCUUUAUUUAAUGUUUAUGCAGAAAAUAUUUGGUCUUUGGCAGUACAGAUUGAAGUCUGAAGAGCUGCUGGAGCUGCCAAGUUUGCAUCUUAGAAGGAAGGACUCCAAGACCAACAGGGAACUCCUCAGCAACAGCUUCAGCUGCUCCCAAGUCCUGCAGGCUGGAUAGACCUUUAGACAAAGGAGAUACAGAUGUUCUCAAUGCAGAAGAAAAUGGAAACCCCAAAAUUGGAUCCUUUGUAUCUUGUCUUCAAGAACUUCUCUGCCACAGUAUUACUGAAACAGGGAGAUACCUCAUUGUCUAAUGUGCUGUUCUCCAUCAGCUUUUCUUCAACUAGAUAAAGUACAGCUAUUAUCUUGGAAAUUAGCCACGGUGUUGUUAGGGAGAACUAGGCUGAAGAAGUUUGAGGGAUCAGAAAUGCUUAUUAAAAAGUAAACUUAUACUGUCUUUGUAAGAUGACAAAAACAAGUUGAGGCUUUCUUAUCUGUGUCAGCCAUAGUUUUGAUGUCUUCUGUAAAUCAUUAUUUAAUCAGAGAACUUUAAAAUAGAAAAGCAAAGUAGACCAUUUGUCCCUGAUUUGUAUUGUUUGGUAGCUUACAAACUAGUCUGUAAAUUCUCAAGCAAGGGACUGCAAGGCUU
This 650-nucleotide long non-coding RNA is filed under the name Cyanistes caeruleus (blue tit). Its description in RNAcentral is "lncRNA (ENSCCEG00000011471.1)". The record is from RNAcentral. Lineage: Eukaryota; Metazoa; Chordata; Aves; Passeriformes; Paridae.